This 333-nucleotide long non-coding RNA is filed under the name Physcomitrium patens. RNAcentral's name for it is "long non-coding RNA (PPAT_LNC008093)". Lineage: Eukaryota; Viridiplantae; Streptophyta; Bryopsida; Funariales; Funariaceae. The record is from RNAcentral.
UGGAGGAUUUCAUGGGCCAUCAAUUCAGUACCUGCAUUAAUGGGUACAGAUUACGGUUAUUUAAUACAUAAAAAUCAGAAUGAGUUUUUAUUUUUUCGGAGAGGUAAGAAACGCACAAUAUGGAUAACAUGUUGUCAUUAUCACCAGAUAGUAAAAGAAUAGGAGUAGAGCACCAGUUAGAGGUCAUUCUGUGGUAUUGUUAUGGAUUUUUUUUUUUUUGAGAUUGCCAUUUCUUGUGUUGCUUAUAUAUUCAAGAGUAGUAGUUCCAGUUUAGAGUUAAUAAUGAGAAGUCAAUCACAAGUAUCAAUUGAAGAUGUUCCAAUAUGGAUGAGU